UACGAGAGGCCCAAACGUUAUUCGGAAUUACUGGGCUUAAAGAGUUCGUAGGCGGCAUUGUAAGUAGGGUGUGAAAGCCCUCGGCUCAACCGAGGAAUUGCGCUCUAAACUGCAGUGCUCGAGGAACCUAGAGGUGAGCAGAACAGAUGGUGGAGCGGUGAAAUGCGUUGAUAUCAUCUGGAAUACCGGAGGCGAAGGCGGCUCACUGGGGGUUUUCUGACGCUGAGGAACGAAAGCCAGGGUAGCGAACGGG
RNAcentral lists this ribosomal RNA (253 nucleotides) under uncultured bacterium. RNAcentral's name for it is "partial 16S ribosomal RNA". It matches the Rfam family "Bacterial small subunit ribosomal RNA", at positions 524 to 776 of the family's 1533-position model. The record is from RNAcentral.